GCUCAGAACACGGGGUGCGCCCGGGCAGGGCGCUGGGACCGCACCCGUGGAACUUGAUCCAGCUCGUACUGGCGAAAGGAUGUCCGAUGAGUUCACC
RNAcentral lists this non-coding RNA (97 nucleotides) under Propionibacterium acidifaciens. RNAcentral describes it as "TPP sequence". It matches the Rfam family "TPP riboswitch aptamer (THI element)". Rfam says of the family: Vitamin B(1) in its active form thiamin pyrophosphate (TPP) is an essential coenzyme that is synthesised by coupling of pyrimidine and thiazole moieties in bacteria. The previously detected thiamin-regulatory element, thi box was extended, resulting in a new, highly conserved RNA secondary structure, the THI element, which is widely distributed in eubacteria and also occurs in some archaea. Analysis of operon structures identified a large number of new candidate thiamin-regulated genes, mostly transporters, in various prokaryotic organisms. The record is from RNAcentral. Lineage: Bacteria; Bacillati; Actinomycetota; Actinomycetes; Propionibacteriales; Propionibacteriaceae.